This 1417-nucleotide ribosomal RNA is filed under the name Fissurella volcano. RNAcentral describes it as "partial 16S ribosomal RNA". The stretch from base 681 to 1417 matches the Rfam family "Archaeal large subunit ribosomal RNA", at positions 1423 to 2833 of the family's 2987-position model. Lineage: Eukaryota; Metazoa; Mollusca; Gastropoda; Lepetellida; Fissurellidae. The record is from RNAcentral.
GAUUUAUUUGUAUUUUAAAAAGUUUAUGGGGUUUAGUGUAUUUUAUAAAGUUUUUAAUUUUGAGAAGCUUAAGUAAGUGUUAUUGAAAAAGUAGUGAGUAACUAUAAAAUAUUUGUACCGAGAGGGGCAUGAGGGGUUAGUUUAGAUAAAGUGGGCGUUAGAAAGUGUACCUUUUGUAUCAUGGCUCUUUAAGGGUUGUUUUGUAUAAAUUGAUCCCGAAAGAAGGCGAUCUAUUUUGUGACUUAGAGGUCAAUAUUUCAAAAUUGUCUUGAGAUUGCGGAAUAGGGGUUAUAUGCCGGUCGAGCUUUCUGAUAGCUGGUUAACCAGGAGAAGUGUUUAAGCACUGCUGCAAUAGAGAAUUAUAGGUUACAGUAAUGCUUUAUGGGAAUAAAUUUUUGUAAUUAAUUUGCAGGUUAAGUAUAAGGGGAUAAGCUCUUAUAUUAGCUUAAGGGUACAAGAAGAAAUUAUUUAGGUUUAGUGGGCUUAAGGUUGGCCAUCUUUUGAGUUUUUUAAAAAACAUUUUUUAAGGUUAAAAAUUUUUUUUUGUUUCUGAGCAAAAAUACUGGUUUUUCUAGAGGAAUUUAGUUCUAGAGUGAUUUUGAGGAGAUGAGUACUUGUUGACUUAGGAGUAAACAAACACAAAAUGUUCUAUGAUUAGAGAAGUGUGUGGGUAUUGUUGGCUUAUUUGAGUAAAUAUAAACCAUUAGAAGGAAUUCGGCAAAAAAUUAUCCCGCCUGUUUAUUAAAAACAUGGCCCUUUGUGUUAAUCAAAGAUGAAGGGUCUGGCCUGCCCAGUGACGAUUUAGUUAAACGGCCACGGUAUCCUAACCGUGCAAAGGUAGCGUAAUAAAUUGCCUAUUAAUUGUGGGCUAGUAUGAAUGGCUUAACGAGGAUGAGACUGUCUCUUGGUGGGGUAUAUGGAAUUUAAUUUUUAGGUGAAGAGGCCUGAAUAUGAUAAAGGGACGAUAAGACCCUAUCGAGCUUUAGUGAAGUUUUGAGGACUAUUUUGAAAGCAGGUUUGGAUUCAUAUUAUCAAAAGGAAUCUUUGGUUGGGGCGAUCAAAAAGUAAAAAAAACCUUUAUUAUAAGUGUAGGUUUAUGGACUAAAGAUCUGGCAUAUUUAUGUAGAUAAAAAGAAUAAGUUAUCGUAGGGAUAACAGCGUAAUCUUUUUGGAGAGUUCUUAUUGAGAAAAGGGUUUGCGACCUCGAUGUUGGACUAAGAUAACCGAAAGGUGUAGCAGCUUUUUAGGGUUGGUCUGUUCGACCAUUAAAAUCUUACAUGAUCUGAGUUAAGACCGGCGUGAGCCAGGUCGGUUUCUAUCUUUUAUGAUGUGGUGUUUACCUCUGGCUAGUACGAAAGGACCGCAAAGGGGGAAAAUAUUUGAGGGUAAAAAAUUGUGAAAUAGGUUACUAAGUUUA